UACAGAGGAUGCAAGCGUUGUUCGGAAUCAUUGGGCAUAAAGGGCGUGUAAGCGGUUUGUUAAGUCAUAUGUGAAAUCCCCCGGCUCAACCGGGGAACGACGCAUGAAACUGACAAACUAAAAUACCAAAGAGGGGGGUGGAAUUCCCGAUGUAGCGGUGAAAUGCGUAGAUAUCAAAAGGAACACCUAUGGCGAAGGCAACCCCCUGGUUGGAUACUGACGCUGAGACGCGAAAGCGUGGGGAGCAAAC
This 250-nucleotide ribosomal RNA is filed under the name uncultured bacterium. RNAcentral's name for it is "partial 16S ribosomal RNA". It matches the Rfam family "Bacterial small subunit ribosomal RNA", at positions 524 to 773 of the family's 1533-position model. The record is from RNAcentral.